CCUACGGGGGGCUGCAGUGGGGAAUAUUGGACAAUGGGGGGAACCCUGAUCCAGCCAUGCCGCGUGUGUGAAGAAGGCCCUCGGGUUGUAAAGCACUUUCAGUGAGGAAGAACGCCUGGUGGUUAAUACCCAUCAGGAAAGACAUCACUCACAGAAGAAGCACCGGCUAACUCCGUGCCAGCAGCCGCGGUAAUACGGAGGGUGCGAGCGUUAAUCGGAAUUACUGGGCGUAAAGCGCGCGUAGGUGGCUUGAUAAGCCGGUUGUGAAAGCCCCGGGCUCAACCUGGGAACGGCAUCCGGAACUGUCAAGCUAGAGUGCAAGAGAGGAAGGUAGAAUUCCCGGUGUAGCGGUGAAAUGCGUAGAGAUCGGGAGGAAUACCAGUGGCGAAGGCGGCCUUCUGGACUGACACUGACACUGAGGUGCGAAAGCGUGGGUAGCAAACAGGAUUAGAUACCCCGGUAGUC
This 465-nucleotide ribosomal RNA is filed under the name Vreelandella stevensii. Its description in RNAcentral is "partial 16S ribosomal RNA". It matches the Rfam family "Bacterial small subunit ribosomal RNA", at positions 338 to 795 of the family's 1533-position model. The record is from RNAcentral. Lineage: Bacteria; Pseudomonadati; Pseudomonadota; Gammaproteobacteria; Oceanospirillales; Halomonadaceae.